CAGCCGCCACGGUAAUACGUAGGGUGCAAGCGUUAAUCGGAAUUACUGGGCGUAAAGCGUGCGCAGGCGGUCCGCUAAGACAGAUGUGAAAUCCCCGGGCUUAACCUGGGAACUGCAUUUGUGACUGGCGGGCUAGAGUGUGUCAGAGGGGGGUAGAAUUCCACGCGUAGCAGUGAAAUGCGUAGAGAUGUGGAGGAAUACCGAUGGCGAAGGCAGCCCCCUGGGAUAGCACUGACGUUCAUGCCCGAAAGCGUGGGUAGCAAACAGGAUUAGAUACCCCCGUAGUCCCUGUCUCUUAUAC
This 301-nucleotide ribosomal RNA is filed under the name uncultured bacterium. RNAcentral's name for it is "partial 16S ribosomal RNA". It matches the Rfam family "Bacterial small subunit ribosomal RNA", at positions 509 to 807 of the family's 1533-position model. The record is from RNAcentral.